RNAcentral lists this long non-coding RNA (613 nucleotides) under Brassica napus (rape). Its description in RNAcentral is "long non-coding RNA (BNAP_LNC006791)". Lineage: Eukaryota; Viridiplantae; Streptophyta; Magnoliopsida; Brassicales; Brassicaceae. The record is from RNAcentral.
AGGGUUUAAUAAAUAAAAUUUAAGGUUUAGAAUCUACAAGAUGAGUGCGAUUGGGGGUUAGGUUUAUGAUUUAAGGAAAAUUAAUUUUUUUACAUAAUUUAAAUAUUUGGGUUUACGGUUUACAUUUGGGUUUAGUGAUUAAGGUUUAGGGUAUAGUAUUUUGUUGGUGGAGGGGUAAGGUUGGGUUUAGGGUUUAUGAUUUAAGAAAAACUAAUUUUUUUACAUAAUUUAAAUAUUUGAGUUUAUGGUUUAGUGAUUAAGGUUUAGGGUAUAAUAUUUUGUCGGUGGAGGGGGUAAAGUUGGGAUUAGUAUUAACUUUUUCCAUGAUAUCUACACAUUUCGUAAUUUUAAAUAUUUGGGUUUAUGGUUUACAUUUAGGGUUUAGUGAUUAUGGUUUAGGGUUUAGUAAUUAAGGUUUAGUAUUUUAAUAUCAGAAAAUAAUUUAUAGAUUGUAUUUGGGUUUAUAGUUUCCGUAUUAGGAUUUACAUUUACUAAAUAGAGGUUUGAGUAUAUUAUGUAGUUGUUGUGGUUGGCUAUGUAUAAUUGCCAACGGGAUACGAUGUCAUAGAGAUAAAAUAGUAUAUCUAGAACCGAGAUAGAAUAGUAUACACGC